This 61-nucleotide ribosomal RNA is filed under the name Phytophthora cinnamomi. RNAcentral describes it as "partial 28S ribosomal RNA". It matches the Rfam family "Eukaryotic large subunit ribosomal RNA", at positions 1 to 59 of the family's 3401-position model. RNAcentral also lists the same sequence under 2 other names. Lineage: Eukaryota; Oomycota; Peronosporomycetes; Peronosporales; Peronosporaceae. The record is from RNAcentral.
UUGGACCUGAUAUCAGGCAAGAUUACCCGCUGAACUUAAGCAUAUCAAUAAGCGGAGGAAA